CCUUACGCCAUCUCUGCACAGACCCCCCUGCUUCUAUAGUGUUUUCUUGUGCUGGUCUAGCUACACCACAAGGGGCUUCAUGUCAUGCCAUGAAAGGAGUACUCCCUUGCUUCAGGAAUCAGAGUAACUUUUUUGUGUGUCUAGAUCAUGUUUCUAGUUUUAAUCACUUUAUUGUUUUGUUUAAAUUAUGCUCACAUCCUCCUUGUUUCUUCUGAAGUAGCAUUUUUCCAUCUUCGCCAUGUUGAUGGUGUGACACCUGUCCAGGUGAGAUGGGACUGUCAGAAUAGACGUGCUGAUGGAUCAGACCUGAACAUUCCAUGGUUGCCACGUGUUUUAUUUCAGGCGCAUCAUUCAGACCUGAUCAUUCAGACACAAACAACCUUCUGGUGGCCAGAAAAACACAGCUCCCUGCUUUCACUGGAACAUUUCUUUGGAAAGGAGACACCAGCUUUGGAGAUUUUACAUCCAUUUAAGACCGACUGUCACAGACAAGAGGACUUGUUCGUGGAAAAUGUGAGAUUUUUUUAAAGACUAUUUUCAAAAUGUUGUUUUCAAUGUAUUUUGCCGUUGACACGUUCAUCAAAGUGGCUUUCUUGACUUGUUUUAUACGGAGGUUCCCUCCAAGUCACAUUAAACUAUUCAACUAUUAAGAAAUAACCCGCUGAUAAAAUGAGGUUUCCUUAUUUUCUAAUCUGCGCCAUAAGUAACACAUGUCGUGACUGUCAGUUUUAUGCCCGAACUAUUACACACUGUUAACAGAAGGUGUAAAUUAACUGGAAGAAGAGAUUUUCUAGAAAAUGUUUUGUGAUACUUGACAACUUGACAAAGUGUUUCCAUGGAUUAAAUAAGGCUCAUAAACGGUGUUGUAGGAGGUGUGUAGGUUUGUCAAUCAGUCAAAUAUGUCAAAUAUAUCAAAAUUCCAUAUUGUUAAAUGAUGUCUGUAAUUCAAGUAGUGCAUAUUUCUAACAAAUGAACAGUUAUUAAUCUCAACAUGUAGACCUAAAUAACAUAUAGGACACCAGGGGCAGUUUCCCACUUCCAGACUGUUAGCAGGGACACAGUGAGAUUAAGAGAGAAACAACACAACAAGGUGCAUGAAUGACUUAAAUUAUGAGUCAUAUGGCAACAAGUCAUAUGUUCAUCAAAAACUUUAAUACAGCCUAAUCGUUCAUAUGCUCAUGUAUUAUUAAUAAUAAAUGCAAAAUUAUUUUAAUCAGCUUUCACAAGUAGAUUCUGAUUGAAUUCUCUCAGUUUGCCAUGAACAUAUAUUCAGUAAUGUUAAACUUUAUUCUGUGCUUCUGCUGUAUGUGGGGCCUCUUUCAAAUUCUAUUUGUAUUUACUGCUCAUACUCAUCUACUCUGUGCUAAAUAUAGUUUAAUGAAUUAUUAAUGAAUUUUAUAUUUUUUAUCUGGAGUGUUAUUGAACUGUGGUACUUUUAGUGAUGUGUGAAAGUUGUCAUGGUAACAGUUCAUGGUCUACAUGAUGUGGAGCAGAGGUCUAAAGGUUGUAUUUGUUUCCACCUUCAGACUGAAAAGCGCUGCACCUGGACCACGGCCUUCACUCCAGACCCCAGCCAGCCAACCAUCCACAGCAGGGUCCUGGCCCCUGCCUCCCACAGUAGCUCUUCAUGUAGCUCCUCCUCUCACUCCUCUCACUCCACUCACCCUCCUUCCACAUCCUCCUCUCACCCUCCCCCCACCUCCUCCUCUCACCCUCCUUCCACAUCCUCCUCUCACCCUCCCCCCACCUCCUCCUCUCCACAGAGAUGAGGAAAAAGGAGAGGAGAGGAGGAGAGGAGAGGAGGCAGGAGGGCAAUACACCAUGUGAACUCUCUCAUGUAAAAGAGAGCAGAAAAAAUCAGAGAAGAAAAGAGACAUGAAGAGAGGAGGAGAGGAGGUGGGAGGGCAACAUGAUGUCUACACCGUCUCAUGUAAACGAGAGGAAGAGAGGAGAGGAGAGGAGGUGGGAGGGCAAUAUGAGGAGUGACCGCUCCGCUCCGCUUAUCCAGCCAAACUUAUUCUCAUCAAACUGUACCUACCAAACAGAAUGAGUAAAACUCUGUUUCUGAGAAGCAGUCUGAAGGCAGCUUUACCUUUAUCAAAGCAUUCAUGUAAUAACCUUUUCACCUCUUGUAUAUUUGCUUUGCAGCCAAGAAAACCCUGAACUGCCUCUUCAUGAACUACAAAUGAACCAUGUUUCUGCAAAGAUUUUUAGCACAAUCAUACAGUGCACAGUGUUUGAAAUACAGUGAUGAAAGAAAGAAACGCCUCAGUUUGGUCUCUGUGGUUCUUGCACUGCUUUUUUUCACAUCUACACUACAUCAGACCAGGUCCUGAACAAAAACCACUUCACUUAGACAAAGUCAAACCUGGACCAGAUUAUCCACAUGAAACCAGGGACUCAUUUAACACAGUUUCAGAUUUGUGGAAACACAGACAUUUAAAUUCUAUAGAGGGGGCUCUGCCUUGUGUUAAGUUGAAGGCCCACACCAUGGAUACCUCAGGACAAGUUUAUUAGGCUGACCAACAGAGGAAUGACAAAAGUCUCAAGUCAACUGUGAUGUUUUAAGUUUGCCCCUACAUACGCUACACAUGUCUGGCGCUGUGGGAGACGGCUGCCUAUCCAGUAGCUCUCCAGUUUUUAAGCUCUUUCAACCUUUUUUAACCUCUACUUCCUAAGGAGACUGUGGUCUUUCAACAUCUGCAGCAAACUGCUGUGGAUGUUUUACUAGUCUGUGGUUGCCAGCGUCCUCUUUUACACUGGUGUGCUGGGGGGGCAGCAUAUCCAAGAAGGACACAUCCAGACUGGAUAAACUGAUCAGGCGGGCCGGCUCUGUGGUCAGCAUGAAGCUGGACUCUCUGGUGAUGGUGGCAGAGAUAAGGACACUGGACAAACUGCUGGAUAUUAUGGACAAUGCCAGC
This is a long non-coding RNA of Lates calcarifer (barramundi perch), 2921 nucleotides long. RefSeq lists it as uncharacterized. The transcript is spliced from 3 exons. The record is from RefSeq and is a predicted model, not a curated record. NCBI's taxonomy places the organism in Eukaryota, Metazoa, Chordata, Actinopteri, Centropomidae.